AUUGAACUGAAGAGUUUGAUCAUGGCUCAGAUUGAACGCUGGCGGCAGGCCUAACACAUGCAAGUCGGGCGGUAGCACAGAGAAGCUUGCUUCUUGGGUGACGAGCGGCGGACGGGUGAGUAACGCGUAGGAAUCUACCUGGUAGUGGGGGAUAGCCCGGGGAAACCCGGAUUAAUAC
This 178-nucleotide ribosomal RNA is filed under the name Pokkaliibacter plantistimulans. RNAcentral describes it as "partial 16S ribosomal RNA". It matches the Rfam family "Bacterial small subunit ribosomal RNA", at positions 1 to 169 of the family's 1533-position model. Lineage: Bacteria; Pseudomonadati; Pseudomonadota; Gammaproteobacteria; Oceanospirillales; Balneatrichaceae. The record is from RNAcentral.